Molecule: ribosomal RNA, 253 nt
Filed under: uncultured bacterium
Lineage: Bacteria
Description: partial 16S ribosomal RNA
Rfam family: Bacterial small subunit ribosomal RNA
Source: RNAcentral
UACGUAGGGUCCGAGCGUUGCCCGGAAUUAUUGGGCGUAAAGGGCUCGUAGGCGGUUUGUCGCGUCGGGAGUGAAAACACGGGGCUUAACCCCGUGCCUGCUUCCGAUACGGGCAGACUAGAGGUAUGCAGGGGAGAACGGAAUUCCUGGUGUAGCGGUGAAAUGCGCAGAUAUCAGGAGGAACACCGGCGGCGAAGGCGGCUUUCUGGACAGAUACCGACGCUGAGGCACGAAAGCUAGGGGAGCAAACAGG